RNAcentral lists this ribosomal RNA (1962 nucleotides) under Triticum aestivum (bread wheat). Its description in RNAcentral is "partial small subunit ribosomal RNA". Lineage: Eukaryota; Viridiplantae; Streptophyta; Magnoliopsida; Poales; Poaceae. The record is from RNAcentral.
AUGAAUUUACCGCUGAACAACAACCUCUCCAUGUACCUCAUCGCCUGGAGGGGCCCUGAUGACCCAUCUUCCAGCGAUUACUCCUUGGGUGUUGAUUCCAGCUCGAGCCUCCAGAUCCUCGCUAAGAAUGGGUCGAGACCAUACUGGCGCAGAGCUGCAUUGGAUGGUGUAUGGGUAUAUGCCAUGUAUCAGAGCAAAUCUGGCAUCAUCAUGUCCCAAACAAUUGCCAAUAGAGGGGGUGAGUUCUACUUGACAUACACCGUCUCUGACGGCUCACCAAGCAUGCGCGUGAUGCUGCACUACACAGGCAUGGUGAAAUUCCUGGCGUGGAGCAGCAACUCACUGUCUUGGGAGAUUUUCUUGGAGCUCCCCGGUUCUAGCUGUGACAGCUAUGCCUCUUGCGGCCCAUUUGGCUAUUGCGAUGGUACACAAGCGGUUGCAACAUGCAAGUGUCUCGAUGGGUUCGAGUCUGAUGAUCAUAACUUAUCCACAGGAUGUCAGAGGAAAAAGGAGCUGCAUUGUGGUGAAGAAGAUAGUUUCAUUACCUUGCUUAGCAUGAAGACACCCGAUAAGUUCCUGUACAUCAGGAAUAGAAGCUUUGACCAAUGCGCAACAGAAUGCAGCCGCAAUUGCUCAUGCACCGCAUAUGCUUAUGCUAACCUUAGUACUCUGGGAACGACUGUAGACCAGUCGAGGUGCUUAGUUUGGAUGGGGGAGCUUGUUGACACAGGGAAGCACGGUGAUGAUUUCGGAGAGAAUCUGUACCUCCGGAUUCGCAGCUCAUCAGUGAGCAAAAAGAAGACUGGUGCGCUGAAGAUUGCACUCCCAGUCUUGUCAGUUCUAUCAGUGCUUGUGUGCAUUUAUCUUGUCUGGAUAUGCAAGUCAAGAGGCAAGCUCCAAACAAAGGCAUCCAUCGAUAUCUUGAUUGAGGGACAAUUGGGCAAUUAUGAUGAACCAUGCGAUCAGAAAUUUCCGUGGAUUAGAUUCAAAGACAUUGUCCCUGCUACAAACGGUUUCUCUGAUUCCAAUGUGCUUGGAAAAGGUGGCUUUGGCAUAGUAUACAAGGGAACGCUGGAAAGUGGCAUGGAGGUUGCUGUUAAAAGGCUUACCAAGUAUUGUGACCAAGGAAUAGAGCAUUUUAGAAAUGAAGUAGUUCUCAUCGCAAAACUGCAGCAUAGAAACUUAGUUAUACUUCUUGGUUCCUGCAUCCGUGGAGAUGAGAGGCUGCUUAUUUAUGAAUACUUACCUAACAAAAGCUUAGACUACUUCCUAUUUGAUGAUACAAAAAAAUCUAUGCUUGAUUGGCCAACAAGGUUUAGCAUAAUUAAAGGGAUAGCCAGAGGACUUCUGUAUCUCCACCAUGAUUCAAGAAUGACGAUAAUUCACAGAGAUCUCAAAGCAAGCAACAUCUUGUUGGAUGUGGAGAUGAGACCCAAAAUAUCAGAUUUUGGCAUGGCAAGGAUCUUUGGUGACAACCAACAACAAGCAAAUACUAGACAUGUUGUCGGAACAUACGGCUAUAUGUCGCCUGAAUAUGCGAUGGAAGGCAUUUUUUCUGUGAAGUCUGAUGCGUAUAGCUACGGUGUCUUGCUUCUGGAGAUUGUAAGUGGGUUAAAGAUCAGCUCGCCCCAUCACCUUAUAAUGGAUUUUCCAAACCUUAUAGAUUAUGCAUGGAACUUCCUGAAAGAAGGAAAAUCCGGGGAUUUCCUAGACACGGUGCUUCUCAAGAGCUGCUUAAUGCAUCAAGUGUCUCUAUGCAUCCAUAUUGGCCUUUUGUGUGUCCAAGACUGCCCAAGCGCCAGGCCACUAAUGUCGUUAGUCGUGUCUAUGCUGGACAAUGAGGCCAUUCCACUCACGACACCAGAGCAGCCUUUAUAUUCCGUCGGUAGGAAACAUGAUGCAGAAGAAGCAAGGGAGAACUCGGUUAAUAACGCAAGCCUGACAACACUAGCAGGGCGCUAG